Molecule: ribosomal RNA, 119 nt
Filed under: Klebsiella pneumoniae
Lineage: Bacteria; Pseudomonadati; Pseudomonadota; Gammaproteobacteria; Enterobacterales; Enterobacteriaceae
Description: partial 23S ribosomal RNA
Rfam family: Bacterial large subunit ribosomal RNA (bases 1-107)
Source: RNAcentral
UAAGUCUCCUGAAGGAACGUUAAAGACGAUGACGUUGGUAGGCCGGGUGUGUAAGCGCAGCGAUGCGUUGAGCUAACCGGUACUAAUGAACCGUGAGGCUUAACCUUACAACGCCGAAG